AUCCGGGUUGCGGACAGUGUCUGGUGGGUAGUUUGACUGGGGCGGUCUCCUCCUAAAGAGUAACGGAGGAGCACGAAGGUUGGCUAAUCCUGGUCGGACAUCAGGAGGUUAGUGCAAUGGCAUAAGCCAGCUUGACUGCGAGCGUGACGGCGCGAGCAGGUGCGAAAGCAGGUCAUAGUGAUCCGGUGGUUCUGAAUGGAAGGGCCAUCGCUCAACGGAUAAAAGGUACUCCGGGGAUAACAGGCUGAUACCGCCCAAGAGUUCAUAUCGACGGCGGUGUUUGGCACCUCGAUGUCGGCUCAUCACAUCCUGGGGCUGAAGUAGGUCCCAAGGGUAUGGCUGUUCGCCAUUUAAAGUGGUACGCGAGCUGGGUUUAGAACGUCGUGAGACAGUUCGGUCCCUAUCUGCCGUGGGCGCUGGAGAACUGAGGGGGGCUGCUCCUAGUACGAGAGGACCGGAGUGGACGCAUCACUGGUGUUCGGGUUGUCAUGCCAAUGGCACUGCCCGGUAGCUAAAUGCGGAAGAGAUAAGUGCUGAAAGCAUCUAAGCACGAAACUUGCCCCGAGAUGAGUUCUCCCUGACCCUUUAAGGGUCCUGAAGGAACGUUGAAGACGACGACGUUGAUAGGCCGGGUGUGUAAGCGCAGCGAUGCGUUGAGCUAACCGGUACUAAUGAACCGUGAGGCUUAACCUU
Molecule: ribosomal RNA, 693 nt
Filed under: Escherichia coli
Lineage: Bacteria; Pseudomonadati; Pseudomonadota; Gammaproteobacteria; Enterobacterales; Enterobacteriaceae
Also listed under: 3 other names
Description: partial 23S ribosomal RNA
Rfam family: Bacterial large subunit ribosomal RNA
Source: RNAcentral